RNAcentral lists this ribosomal RNA (468 nucleotides) under uncultured bacterium. RNAcentral describes it as "partial 16S ribosomal RNA". It matches the Rfam family "Bacterial small subunit ribosomal RNA", at positions 28 to 507 of the family's 1533-position model. The record is from RNAcentral.
GACGAACGCUGGCGGCGUGCUUAACACAUGCAAGUCGAACGGAAAGGCCCUGCUUUUGUGGGGUGCUCGAGUGGCGAACGGGUGAGUAACACGUGAGUAACCUGCCCUUGACUUUGGGAUAACUUCAGGAAACUGGGGCUAAUACCGGAUAGGAGCUCCUGCUGCAUGGUGGGGGUUGGAAAGUUUCGGCGGUUGGGGAUGGACUCGCGGCUUAUCAGCUUGUUGGUGGGGUAGUGGCUUACCAAGGCUUUGACGGGUAGCCGGCCUGAGAGGGUGAACGGCCACAUUGGGACUGAGAUACGGCCCAGACUCCUACGGGAGGCAGAAGUGGGGAAUAUUGCACAAUGGGCGGAAGCCUGAUGCAGCCACGCCGCGUGCGGGAUGACGGCCUUCGGGUUGUAAACCGCUUUCGCCUGUGACGAAGCGUGAGUGACGGUAAUGGGUAAAGAAGCACCGGCUAACUACGUG